UCGUGGAGUGAUCUGUCUGCUUAAUUGCGUUUCAGAUAUAAAAAGGUAAGCUUUAUAUAAGCGAGGCUUUUUGGCACGUAAGUGUCUAUUGGCUGAGCAGGCUACCUUAUGAAAGCAACGAACGUGACCUCAUAUCAAUGUUGUCUCAUCUAUAUAUGAGAGACUCUUUGAUGACUGCCAGGGCUGUCAACCCGGAGGAAGGAUGAGGCAA
RNAcentral lists this ribosomal RNA (211 nucleotides) under uncultured eukaryote. RNAcentral describes it as "partial 18S ribosomal RNA". The record is from RNAcentral.